AGGGUUUGAUUCUGGCUCAGGAUGAACGCUAGCUACAGGCUUAACACAUGCAAGUCGAGGGGCAUCAGGAAGAAAGCUUGCUUUCUUUGCUGGCGACCGGCGCACGGGUGAGUAACACGUAUCCAACCUGCCCUUUACUCGGGGAUAGCCUUUCGAAAGAAAGAUUAAUACCCGAUGGGAUAAUUAUUCCGCAUGGUUUGAUUAUUAAAGGAUUCCGGUAAAGGAUGGGGAUGCGUUCCAUUAGGUUGUUGGUGAGGUAACGGCUCACCAAGCCUUCGAUGGAUAGGGGUUCUGAGAGGAAGGUCCCCCACAUUGGAACUGAGACACGGUCCAA
RNAcentral lists this ribosomal RNA (334 nucleotides) under uncultured bacterium. RNAcentral's name for it is "bacterial SSU rRNA". It matches the Rfam family "Bacterial small subunit ribosomal RNA", at positions 8 to 334 of the family's 1533-position model. The record is from RNAcentral.